Molecule: long non-coding RNA, 1147 nt
Organism: Mustela erminea (ermine)
Lineage: Eukaryota; Metazoa; Chordata; Mammalia; Carnivora; Mustelidae
Exons: 3
Source: RefSeq, a predicted model, not a curated record
UUUUCCCCAGCACAUUGAUAUUUUAUAAUGACACGUCUUGCAUCUAUUGUAAUCCACUUCAUUUUGUUGCCAGGCAGACAAUGAACUCAAACUCGGAUCCUUCAAAUCCAGUAUACUCACUUGAAUUGUCCCUUACAUCCAACCUCCAUUUUGUCUCAUCUCUCUUCCGGAAUGCCUAUGAUUCAGACAUCACUUCCUGUACUACAUCAGAAGCUCUGCUCAGAUGCCUGGUUAUCCUUGACUACCCCUCACAUUGAAGAAUGGGGGCCAAAUCCUCCAAACACACGUGUAGCGCUCCUGAGCUGUGAACGUCACUGUGGGGUGAUCUGACUUGGUAGCUUAUAUGAGGAAGCCUGGAUGUCCCCAGCUUCGGGUGUCUGAGCUUAGUCUGGCUAGGUUAUCCAGAGAAGGUCCUUUAGUCCCCUGGCUUGAAGGUGAAGGCCUGGCUGUUCCACAUCUACAAGCUGAAUGCAGGAGGGUUGCGGGAUGGUCUCAGCGUCCAGUGUUGUACACAAUCCCCCGGUUUCGCUGCGGUACCUCCACCCUCCAUGGAGAUCAGUCUCCAGAAAAAAAACAAGUCCUCCUUCUCUCACCAGGGUUGGUGGUUGUUGAGAUCCGGGAAUCUGACUACUUCAAAAACCAACUUUCAACCAGUGCUCAUCCUAGCCUUUCUGAUGCUCCCUCCCCUGCAAGUUCCAGACAGUACCCACCUCUGAGCUGCGGGUCCCACGUACACGGAGUUGGAUUUUAUCUGCCACUUCUGCCAAAUCAUCAGUCCUCUCGUCCAUCUGCUUUCCAGUUCAUAAAACUCACAGUGGAUAAGGAAUCAUCAGAGCAUCUCUAGUACCUGACACAUAUGCGGCAUACAGACAUCAGUUUCAGAAAUACCAGUUUCAGAAAGCUUCAAUUUGCAGUUGUAAAUUAAACAGGAAAAGCAGAAUUAUUAAGUCUUAAGUUACCAACGAAAGUCUUUAAAAGUUCUUUUUCAAAGAAUUUAACAUGAACUCAAAAAUUUCCUCUCUCAAGAGCUUCAGAGGUCAUCCUUGAUAAGAAGUCAGAUAAAAUACCCAACUACAGGAUACUCCAACACCAUGCUUCUAUGAAAAUACAACAGCUUUGUCUCAUUUUUAUAAAGAAAUUAAAACUA